CAUUUUCUUGCCAGUUAAUGGUUAUCUCUGUUAUAGUAAGAUACACUAGAGCAGAAAUAUAGACAAGCAAAGGAGUCUGGCCCCAUCACCAUAAUGGAUUACUAUACUUGUCUGCUUUGCUUGACUCUUUUACAAAUUUACACAGCACUAAGGAUAUGGUACAAGGGUAGAGCAAGACUGCACAGAAAUGACAGAGGCCAGAGGAGCCCCUUACAUCCGC
RNAcentral lists this long non-coding RNA (220 nucleotides) under Homo sapiens (human). RNAcentral describes it as "HSALNT0191840". Lineage: Eukaryota; Metazoa; Chordata; Mammalia; Primates; Hominidae. The record is from RNAcentral.